AUUGAACGCUGGCGGCAUGCUUUACACAUGCAAGUCGAACGGUAACAGGCCGCAAGGUGCUGACGAGUGGCGAACGGGUGAGUAAUGCAUCGGAACGUGCCCAGUCGUGGGGGAUAACGCAGCGAAAGCUGCGCUAAUACCGCAUACGAUCUCUGGAUGAAAGCGGGGGACCGAAAGGCCUCGCGCGAUUGGAGCGGCCGAUGUCAGAUUAGGUAGUUGGUGGGGUAUAGGCCCACCAAGCCAACGAUCUGUAGCUGGUCUGAGAGGACGACCAGCCACACUGGGACUGAGACACGGCCCAAACUCCUACGGGAGGCAGCAGUGGGGAAUUUUGGACAAUGGGCGCAAGCCUGAUCCAGCAAUGCCGCGUGCAGGAAGAAGGCCUUCGGGUUGUAAACUGCUUUUGUACGGAACGAAACGGUCCGGGCUAAUACCCUGGGCUAAUGACGGUACCGUAAGAAUAAGCACCGGCUAACUACGUGCCAGCAGCCGCAGUAA
This 498-nucleotide ribosomal RNA is filed under the name uncultured bacterium. RNAcentral's name for it is "partial 16S ribosomal RNA". It matches the Rfam family "Bacterial small subunit ribosomal RNA", at positions 29 to 523 of the family's 1533-position model. The record is from RNAcentral.